This 792-nucleotide ribosomal RNA is filed under the name Triticum aestivum (bread wheat). RNAcentral's name for it is "partial small subunit ribosomal RNA". Lineage: Eukaryota; Viridiplantae; Streptophyta; Magnoliopsida; Poales; Poaceae. The record is from RNAcentral.
UGGUAAUAAGAAAAUUGCAAACAAAUAAAGCAGGAACGCAUCCAUUCAUACAUCUCGGAUUCACCACUUUCACACACAUAUCAGGCACGUAAGGCACAACACAUACAUAUGCAUCUCCGUCUCUCCAAUUCAGCAAAUUUCCACACAAAUCAAAACACAUAUGCAUCAAGGAUGCACCAUUUGUAGAUCAAAUAGCAACCUGUAUGACGGGGAGUGGAGCUACCGCAUCAAGGACGGAGGGGAACGCUGAUUGGAGGCAGCGCCAUGGACGGAGCGGAGUACGUCGCAUCAUGGAGAAGAGCAGCAGGAGAUGGACGAAAACUUGGGCGCCGCCAUGAGCGCUGAUUGGAGGCAGCGCGAGGCGCGCAGGGCCAUGGGCUCCCAGAUCCCGGGUGACCAGGGAUUGCGUCCUCGUCCAGGACGAGAGGAGGAAGGGGAGGUGGGCCGCUGCCGGUGCUUGGGCACGAGGAGAGUGGAGGAGCGCGAGGAGGCAGGCCUCGUCAGGCGGGAUCCUUCACGAGGAGCGCAGGCGGCGGCCAGGCCUCGCGCGUGACCAGGCGGCAGUUGCGGCAGGGGCCGCGGCAAUCGGCAGAGUCGGAGCGCCGCGCAUCCGGCUGGAGGUAGCUGGCUGCGGUGGCGCGCGAGGACGGCGACUGGAGGUAGCGGUAGCGGUGGCGGUGGGCAGAGGCGGAGCGCCGUGCAUCCGGCUGGAGGUAGCUGGCUGCGGUGGUGCGCGGGGACGACGACUGGAGGUUGCGACGCGACGGCCGGAGUGGUUGGAUCCGAGUCUGU